RNAcentral lists this transfer RNA (85 nucleotides) under Caudoviricetes sp. RNAcentral's name for it is "tRNA-Leu". It matches the Rfam family "tRNA". Rfam says of the family: Transfer RNA (tRNA) molecules are approximately 80 nucleotides in length. Their secondary structure includes four short double-helical elements and three loops (D, anti-codon, and T loops). The record is from RNAcentral. Lineage: Duplodnaviria; Heunggongvirae; Uroviricota; Caudoviricetes.
GAUGGAGUGGCGGAAUUGGCAGACGCAUCGGGUUUAAGCCCCGACGGAUAUUUCCAUGAAAGUUCAAAUCUUUUCUCCAUCACCA